GACGAACGCUGGCGGCGUGCUUAACACAUGCAAGUCGAACGGAAAGGCCCUGCUUUUGUGGGGUGCUCGAGGGGCGAACGGGUGAGUAACACGUGAGUAACCUGCCCUUGACUUUGGGAUAACUUCAGGAAACUGGGGCUAAUACCGUAUAGGAGCUCCUGCUGGAGGGUGGGGGUGGGAAAGUUUCGGCGGGUGGGGAUGGACUGGCGGCUUAUCAGCUUGUUGGUGGGGGAGGGGCUUACCCAGGCUGGGGCGGGUAGCCCGCCUGAGAGGGUGGCCGGCCACAUUGGGCCUGAGGUACGGAGCAGACUGGUACGUGAGGCAGCAGUGGGAAAUAUUGCACAAUGGGCGCAAGCCUGAUGCAGCAACGCCGCGUUCGGGAAGACGGUCUGCGGGGUGUAAACCGCUGUCGCCUGUGACGAAGCGUUAGUGACGGUACUGGGUAAAGAAGCACCGGCUAACUACGUG
This 468-nucleotide ribosomal RNA is filed under the name uncultured bacterium. RNAcentral's name for it is "partial 16S ribosomal RNA". It matches the Rfam family "Bacterial small subunit ribosomal RNA", at positions 28 to 507 of the family's 1533-position model. The record is from RNAcentral.